Molecule: transfer RNA, 74 nt
Filed under: Nicotiana sylvestris (wood tobacco)
Lineage: Eukaryota; Viridiplantae; Streptophyta; Magnoliopsida; Solanales; Solanaceae
Rfam family: tRNA
About the family: Transfer RNA (tRNA) molecules are approximately 80 nucleotides in length. Their secondary structure includes four short double-helical elements and three loops (D, anti-codon, and T loops). Further hydrogen bonds mediate the characteristic L-shaped molecular structure. tRNAs have two regions of fundamental functional importance: the anti-codon, which is responsible for specific mRNA codon recognition, and the 3' end, to which the tRNAs corresponding amino acid is attached (by aminoacyl-tRNA synthetases). tRNAs cope with the degeneracy of the genetic code in two manners: having more than one tRNA (with a specific anti-codon) for a particular amino acid; and 'wobble' base-pairing, i.e. permitting non-standard base-pairing at the 3rd anti-codon position.
Source: Rfam by way of RNAcentral
GUGCUUUUAAUUCAGUUUGGUAGAAGGUGGGUCUUCAAAACUCGAUGUCGUAGGUUCAAAUCCUAUAAAGCAUA